This 520-nucleotide ribosomal RNA is filed under the name uncultured bacterium. Its description in RNAcentral is "bacterial SSU rRNA". It matches the Rfam family "Bacterial small subunit ribosomal RNA", at positions 120 to 674 of the family's 1533-position model. The record is from RNAcentral.
GGGAACGUACCCUUCGGUUCGGAAUAACUCAGGGAAACUUGAGCUAAUACCGGAUACGCCCUUUUGGGGAAAGGUUUACUGCCGAAGGAUCGGCCCGCGUCUGAUUAGCUUGUUGGUGGGGUAACGGCCUACCAAGGCGACGAUCAGUAGCUGGUCUGAGAGGAUGAUCAGCCACACUGGGACUGAGAUACGGCCCAGACUCCUACGGGAGGCAGCAGUGGGGAAUAUUGGACAAUGGGCGCAAGCCUGAUCCAGCCAUGCCGCGUGAGUGAUGAAGGCCUUAGGGUUGUAAAGCUCUUUUGUCCGGGACGAUAAUGACGGUACCGGAAGAAUAAGCCCCGGCUAACUUCGUGCCAGCAGCCGCGGUAAUACGAAGGGGGCUAGCGUUGCUCGGAAUCACUGGGCGUAAAGGGCGCGUAGGCGGCCGAUUAAGUCGGGGGUGAAAGCCUGUGGCUCAACCACAGAAUUGCCUUCGAUACUGGUUGGCUUGAGACCGGAAGAGGACAGCGGAACUGCGAGU